GACGAACGCUGGCGGCGUGCUUAACACAUGCAAGUCGAACGGAAAGGCCCUGCUUGCAGGGUACUCGAGUGGCGAACGGGUGAGUAACACGUGGGUGAUCUGCCCUGCACUUCGGGAUAAGCCUGGGAAACUGGGUCUAAUACCGGAUAGGAGCCAUUUUUAGUGUGAUGGUUGGAAAGUUUUUUCGGUGUAGGAUGAGCUCGCGGCCUAUCAGCUUGUUGGUGGGGUAAUGGCCUACCAAGGCGGCGACGGGUAGCGGGCCUGAGAGGGUGGACGGCCACAUUGGGACUGAGAUACGGCCCAGACUCCUAAGGGAGGCAGCAGUGGGGAAUAUUGCACAAUGGGCGCAAGCCUGAUGCAGCGACGCCGCGUGGGGGAUGACGGCCUUCGGGUUGUAAACUCCUUUCGCUAGGGACGAAGCUUUUUGUGACGGUACCUAGAUAAGAAGCACCGGCUAACUACGUG
This 465-nucleotide ribosomal RNA is filed under the name uncultured bacterium. RNAcentral describes it as "partial 16S ribosomal RNA". It matches the Rfam family "Bacterial small subunit ribosomal RNA", at positions 28 to 507 of the family's 1533-position model. The record is from RNAcentral.